AACGAACGCUGGCGGCAGGCCUAACACAUGCAAGUCGAGCGAGGACUUCGGUCCUAGCGGCGGACGGGUGGGUAACGCGGGGGAACGUGCCCUUUGCUUCGGAAUAGCCCUGGGAAACUGGGAGUAAUACCGGAUGGGCCCUUUGGGGGAAAGAUUUAUCGGCGAAGGAUCGGCCCGCGUCGGUUUAGGUUGUUGGUGGGGUAGUGGCCUACCAAGCGGACGAUCCAUCGCUGGUUGGAGAGGAUGAUCGGCCACACUGGGAGUGAGAUACGGCCCAGACGCCUCUGGGAGGGAGCAGGGGGGAAGGUUACACAAGGGGCGGAAGCAUGAUUCAGCAACGCCGCGCGCGGGAUGACGGCAUUCGGGUUGUAUAGCAAAUUCGCAUGAGACGAAGAGUGAGUGACGGUAAUGGGUAAAGAAGCCCCGGCUAACUACGUG
RNAcentral lists this ribosomal RNA (438 nucleotides) under uncultured bacterium. RNAcentral's name for it is "partial 16S ribosomal RNA". It matches the Rfam family "Bacterial small subunit ribosomal RNA", at positions 28 to 507 of the family's 1533-position model. The record is from RNAcentral.